CCUACGGGUGGCAGCAGUGAGGAAUAUUGGUCAAUGGACGAGAGUCUGAACCAGCCAAGUAGCGUGAAGGAUGACUGCCCUAUGGGUUGUAAACUUCUUUUAUAGGGGAAUAAAACGUUACACGUGUGGGAUUUUGUAUGUACCAUAUGAAUAAGGAUCGGCUAACUCCGUGCCAGCAGCCGCGGUAAUACGGAGGAUCCGAGCGUUAUCCGGAUUUAUUGGGUUUAAAGGGAGCGUAGGGGGAUUGUUAAGUCAGUUGUGAAAGUUUGCGGCUCAACCGUAAAAUGGCAGUUGAAACUGGCAGUCUUGAGUACAGUAGAGGUGGGCUGAAUUCGUGGUGUAGCGGUUCACUGCUUAGAUCUCAC
RNAcentral lists this ribosomal RNA (365 nucleotides) under uncultured bacterium. RNAcentral describes it as "partial 16S ribosomal RNA". It matches the Rfam family "Bacterial small subunit ribosomal RNA", at positions 338 to 700 of the family's 1533-position model. The record is from RNAcentral.